UUACGGCCAUAUCUCGUUGGAACACCGGUUCCCGUACGAUCACCGAAUUUAAGCAACAUCGAGCUUGGUCAGUACCUAGAUGGGUGAUCGCUUGCGAAUGCCAGGUGCUGGAA
Molecule: non-coding RNA, 113 nt
Organism: Acanthosepion pharaonis
Lineage: Eukaryota; Metazoa; Mollusca; Cephalopoda; Sepiida; Sepiidae
Source: the annotation of a GenBank genome assembly